This is a non-coding RNA of Panicum virgatum (switchgrass), 73 nucleotides long. The record is from the annotation of a RefSeq genome assembly. Lineage: Eukaryota; Viridiplantae; Streptophyta; Magnoliopsida; Poales; Poaceae.
GCUGGAAUAGCUCAGUUGGUUAGAGCGUAUGGCUGUUAACCAUGAGGUCGGAGGUUUUACCCUCCUUCUAGCG